GAAGAAGAAGGGGAAAAAGAAAAGGAAAGGAGGGAUAUUUGCACGAAUUGGAGCUCAAGUGUGGGGAUUUAUUCAUUUCAAAUUUUCAGCAAAGAGGUAAUGAGGCGAUUGGAAACGUCUAUCAGCCUAUCUAGCUUGUAGCUCAUACCUUGAGAAGGUCGAUUUUGAGAUAUUUGG
Olea europaea var. sylvestris is the source of this 177-nucleotide long non-coding RNA. RefSeq lists it as uncharacterized. The transcript has 4 exons. The record is from RefSeq and is a predicted model, not a curated record. NCBI's taxonomy places the organism in Eukaryota, Viridiplantae, Streptophyta, Magnoliopsida, Lamiales, Oleaceae.